This is a long non-coding RNA of Orbicella faveolata, 513 nucleotides long. The record is from RefSeq and is a predicted model, not a curated record. NCBI's taxonomy places the organism in Eukaryota, Metazoa, Cnidaria, Anthozoa, Scleractinia, Merulinidae.
UUAAUGGCGGUAUAAAUCAACUGACGUUUCGGCAUUGCUGCCUUCUUCAGGGUGUUUAAGCUGCCACGUAAAAUAACGAGAUCGUUAUUUGCAGUUGUGUGCUGCUUUGGAACUGUUUGCGCGUGCGAAAAAAUGCGCGCGCGUGUCUCGAGAUUUCAUAUAAAUGAGAAAUCGCGAUUUAUUCCCGAGGAGCGAGUGUUUGGAAUUUGAAAAUUUGUCUCAUCUCCUCGCGUUGGCGGACAUCCUUCUUUGCUGGGCCACGGCGACACGGACGUCUUCUAGUGAAUGGCCUGGGCUAUUGAAGUGUUGCGCUACGGGUAAGUCACUUUUCUUGUGUAGAACGUCGUGGCGUUGUUCCCUGAAACGGUCAGCCAAUCUGCGUCCUGUCUCCCCAAUGUAGACUGUCCUAGGAUAUUUACGGCAAGAAAUACAAUAAAUGACGUUAUCUGAAGUGCACGUGAAAUGCGUCAGGUCGCUUUCGGAAAGUGGAAGCGAUCGAGACCAGAAAAGAAA